Molecule: small nucleolar RNA, 137 nt
Organism: Myxocyprinus asiaticus (Chinese sucker)
Lineage: Eukaryota; Metazoa; Chordata; Actinopteri; Cypriniformes; Catostomidae
Source: RefSeq, a predicted model, not a curated record
GGAGCCCUGAAUCAAGGCCCACAGCUUGGUGUAGCUGUUGGUUUCAAACAGUGGCUUAAAGCAAAGUCUUCUUAUGGUCUGUUGGCUUUCCCAAUUUUAUAUAAUGGGUUGAGCCAGUUCAGUUAGAAGGAACACCU